This 774-nucleotide ribosomal RNA is filed under the name uncultured Neocallimastigales. RNAcentral describes it as "partial large subunit ribosomal RNA". It matches the Rfam family "Eukaryotic large subunit ribosomal RNA", at positions 23 to 620 of the family's 3401-position model. Lineage: Eukaryota; Fungi; Neocallimastigomycota; Neocallimastigomycetes; Neocallimastigales. The record is from RNAcentral.
AGAGAGAGACAUGCGCGCAUAUCAAUAAGCGGAGGAAAAGAAACUAACAAGGAUUCCCUUAGUAACGGCGAGUGAAGCGGGAAGAGCUCAAAUUUGAAAUCUUCAAGGUUUUACCUUGACGAAUUGUAGUCUAAAGAAGUGUUUUCUGCUGAAGUUUUGGUAAAAGUUCUUUGGAAUAGGACAUCAUAGAGGGUGAGAAUCCCGUAUUUGACCAUUAUUUUCAGCUUUGUGAUACACUUUCAAAGAGUCGGAUUGUUUGGGAAUGCAGUCCAAAAUGGGUGGUAAAUUUCAUCUAAAGCUAAAUAUUGGCGAGAGACCGAUAGCGAACAAGUACCGUGAGGGAAAGAUGAAAAGAACUUUGAAAAGAGAGUUAAACAGUACGUGAAAUUGUCAAAAGGGAAGCGUUUGACACCAGUGUUGUUUUCUCGAAAAUCAAUUAAAAAUGGCUCGAUUUUGUAUUGCUUGAGACCUUAAAAGCUCACUGUACAUUUUUCGUGUCUUUUUUAAUGCACUUUUCGUUUAACAAGUCAACAUCAGUUUCUUUUGUUGUAAAAGGGUCAUUGGAAGGUGGCUUUCCUUUCGGAGAAAGUGUUUAUAGCCUUUGGCCUCUGCAAUCGGAGAGACUGAGGUCUGCAGCGUAGACUCUUCGGGGUUAGAUACAUUUGUGCUAAGUUAUAGCUUUUAUAGACAACUUGUUGACUAUAAUUAGUCUUGUAGCUUACUCGCUUAUGCUAUUUUACCUACGCUUAGGAUGUUGAAGAUGUAGCACAUCAU